Molecule: long non-coding RNA, 756 nt
Organism: Capra hircus (goat)
Lineage: Eukaryota; Metazoa; Chordata; Mammalia; Artiodactyla; Bovidae
Exons: 5
Source: RefSeq, a predicted model, not a curated record
CAAAGGCUUCCUUCUGACCACCUGUUUCUGAGAGCAAGGACUGUUGUUUCAUGAUAAGACUCCCUUUAGAGUUUCGCCAAAGCUAUGUUAUGGCUUGGGCGGUAGGAAGUGUAUUUUAUGCUUGAAUGCUUUAAUGUUUAUCUGGAAUGGCUACGUGCAAGUCAGCCUUAUGCUCUAUUCCCUGAAAAUUAUAAAACUACACAAUUGGAUAAUAAACUUUGUCAGUCCACUAGAGGCUGUCCCUGAGUGUCCUUUUCAGAGUGCAGUUCUCCGAGCCAUACAACUGGCGCCCAACGUGGGGCUCGAAGCAGCAGACUGAUUUUGAAAUAGGGCCGCACUCCUGCAGAAGCGAGGCUCCUUUGGUUGGAAUUACAAGUAUAUUUGGUGAUUCAAUCCCUGCCCUGACAAACGUUCAGCUGAAAUAUGAGGCCAACUGCUUUGAUGUGGCUGUCAAUAGACGUUCAAACAGGAAUCUUCAACUUUCUGAUGAAAGGACUGGAAACAUUUAAAUCAAAAUUUCAAUUUUGAUGCAAAACGUGUAUGCAGCAUAUUAGUGUUAGCAAGGAAUCCAUCAUAAAAUUAUACUGAGGAUAUCUGGCGUCUGGUAAAGAAACAAAAGUUCUAAAGGAUAAAGCUAAUUCCCCAUAAUCAAAUUCACUCAAGUUGUGAAGACUUCAGCUUGGCACUUCAGAGCAUUCUUGCAUACACACUGACCACACUGCCUUCACUGGCGAGACCUGUGUUCAAUCCCUGGGU